UACGAAGGUGGCGAGCGUUGUUCGGAUUCACUGGGCAUAAAGGGCGCGUAGGCGGUGCCGCAAGCGGCGUGUGAAAUUCCGGGGCUCAACCCCGGAACGGCGCGCUGGACUGCGGUGCUCGAGUGCGGGAGGGGGGUGCGGAACUCUAGGUGGAGCGGUGAAAUGCGUAGAUAUCUGGGGGAACACCCGUGGCGAAGGCGGCUCUUUGGUCCGAAACUGACGCUGAGGUGCGAAAGCUAGGGUAGCAAACAGG
RNAcentral lists this ribosomal RNA (253 nucleotides) under uncultured bacterium. RNAcentral's name for it is "partial 16S ribosomal RNA". It matches the Rfam family "Bacterial small subunit ribosomal RNA", at positions 524 to 776 of the family's 1533-position model. The record is from RNAcentral.